CCAAGUUUAGAAUCUGCAAGGGUUCUAACACCUGGUAUCAGAGCAGCGUUCUUGGCAUCUCACUGCCCUUCCACUGCCAUCCAUCAGCCCUCCACAACCGCCCAAAGCAAUUCCCACAAUUGCUUAAAAGAUCGUCGCCGAAUUCCGCCAUCAUCUUCACCACCGCGGAUCAUCCUUUGAUCUCCCCGUGAAUUGCAACAGGUUCUGGUUUCCUACCUUACUGCUGCUGCAAUUUAGUUAUCCUUAUUCGAAAAUCAAAAAAAAAAACUGUUCCUAUAUUGCUACAUAAACCUUUCGUCACAAAGUUUUCAUCUCUACGACGAAAGAUACAUUGCAGAAUUCCAG
RNAcentral lists this long non-coding RNA (345 nucleotides) under Musa acuminata (dwarf banana). RNAcentral describes it as "long non-coding RNA (MACU_LNC009184)". Lineage: Eukaryota; Viridiplantae; Streptophyta; Magnoliopsida; Zingiberales; Musaceae. The record is from RNAcentral.